This 484-nucleotide ribosomal RNA is filed under the name uncultured bacterium. RNAcentral's name for it is "partial 16S ribosomal RNA". It matches the Rfam family "Bacterial small subunit ribosomal RNA", at positions 29 to 507 of the family's 1533-position model. The record is from RNAcentral.
AGUGAACGCUGGCGGCAUGCUUUACACAUGCAAGUCGAACGGUAACACGGAGCUUGCUCCGCUGUCGAGUUGCGAACGGGUGAGUAAUAUAUCGGAACGUACCCAAGAGCGGGGGCUAACGUAGCGACAGUUACGCUAAUACCCCAUACGAUCAUAGGAUGAACGCAGGGGAGCUUCGGACCUUGUGCUCUUGGACGGGCCGAUAUCUGAUUAGCUAGUUGGUGAGGUAAAGGCUCACCAAGGCGACGAUCAGUAGCUGGUCUGAGAGGACGACCAGCCACACUGGAACUGAGACACGGUCCAGACUCCUACGGGAGGCAGCAGUGGGGAAUUUUGGACAAUGGGCGCAAGCCUGAUCCAGCAAUGCCGCGUGAGUGAAGAAGGCCUUCGGGUUGUAAAGCUCUUUUGUCAGGGAAGAAACGGGAUUGGCUAAUAUCCAGUCCUAAUGACGGUACCUGAAGAAUAAGCACCGGCUAACUACGUG